AUGGUAGGAUUAAAAAAAGGAAGUGUGGAAAAAAUGACAAGAAGAUAUUGGAACAUUAAUUUGAAAGAGAUGAUAGAAGCAGGAGUUCAUUUUGGUCAUGGUAUUAAGAAAUGGAAUCUUAAAAUGGCCCCUUACAUUUCGGCAAAGCGUAAAGGUACUCAUAUUAUAAAUCUCGCUAGAACGGCUCGUUUUUUAUCAGAAGCUUGUGAUUUAGUUUUUGAUGCAGCAAGUCAGGGAAAAAGUUUCUUAAUUGUUGGUACCAAAAAAAGAGCAACAGAUUUAGUAGCAUGUCUAAUU
RNAcentral lists this ribosomal RNA (297 nucleotides) under Triticum aestivum (bread wheat). RNAcentral describes it as "partial small subunit ribosomal RNA". The record is from RNAcentral. Lineage: Eukaryota; Viridiplantae; Streptophyta; Magnoliopsida; Poales; Poaceae.